Long non-coding RNA from Syngnathoides biaculeatus (alligator pipefish), 537 nucleotides. RefSeq lists it as uncharacterized. Lineage: Eukaryota; Metazoa; Chordata; Actinopteri; Syngnathiformes; Syngnathidae. The transcript is spliced from 3 exons. The record is from RefSeq and is a predicted model, not a curated record.
AUUAUCUGCUUACCAGCCAAUUGGAGGUGAAUUUCAGCAGUAGUAGGUAUCACUACUCAUCCAUCUUGCCAAUAUGGCAGGUUGAAUUUCAUAUAUGCAUGGCUCAAAGUACUCCACUGUAGUGCCGGCAAAUUCUCGUUAUUUUUUGGGGGAGAAGACUCGCUUCACGUCUUUAAAAAUAAAUACUGUAACUACGUUUAAAAAAACGUGACAUGACCGAGUCUGGCAAAUGGAAGUGUAUGUGCCUUGUAAACGUUUACCCGUAGUACUGUUUGCAAUUGUAUUAUUUGAUAUUUCCCUCUUGUUGCAACUGAUGCUGUAGUAGUUUAUUUUAUUUUAUUUUUUUUCCCCUACAAGGGUGGAGGUAUCAUCACUCAAUGCGGGCUCACUGGCUUUCACGCGCAGAUAGCCAAGCAGCCACGAGCCUUAAUCGAUUGAGUCACCGGAGUGCUGGAGCCUAUCCCAGGUAUCUACAGGCAGGAGGUGGAGAACAACCUGAACUGUUUUCCUGCCAAACUCGGAGGAAAUUGGAGUGGC